This 460-nucleotide ribosomal RNA is filed under the name uncultured bacterium. RNAcentral's name for it is "partial 16S ribosomal RNA". It matches the Rfam family "Bacterial small subunit ribosomal RNA", at positions 338 to 795 of the family's 1533-position model. The record is from RNAcentral.
CCUACGGGGCGCAGCAGUGAGGAAUAUUGGUCAAUGGUCGGGAGACUGAACCAGCCAAGCCGCGUGAGGGAGGAAGGUACAGAGUAUCGUAAACCUCUUUUGUCAGGGAACAAAGGCGGGGACGUGUCCCCGGAUGAGUGUACCUGAAGAAAAAGCAUCGGCUAACUCCGUGCCAGCAGCCGCGGUAAUACGGAGGAUGCGAGCGUUAUCCGGAUUUAUUGGGUUUAAAGGGUGCGUAGGCGGGUUGAUAAGUUAGAGGUGAAAUGUCGGGGCUCAACCCCGACACUGCCUCUGAUACUGUUGGACUAGAGAAUAGUAGCGGUAGGCGGAAUGUAUGGUGUAGCGGUGAAAUGCUUAGAGAUCAUACAGAACACCGAUUGCGAAGGCAGCUUACCAAACUAUAUCUGACGUUGAGGCACGAAAGCGUGGGUAGCAAACAGGAUUAGAUAUCCCAGUAGUC